UUGCCGAUGAUGGUUAAGAAUUUCUUCACCUGAAUACAUCAUGUGGUCGUGUUUUUUCUGAGGCAAA
This 67-nucleotide small nucleolar RNA is filed under the name Echinops telfairi (small Madagascar hedgehog). The record is from RNAcentral. Lineage: Eukaryota; Metazoa; Chordata; Mammalia; Afrosoricida; Tenrecidae.